UAAAAUCAAUGAAAAGUACUUUAAAAAAUUGUAAAUUUCAUAUGUUGUGGUUACACUGAUCUUUUCUUUGAACAUUUCUGCUGUGAAAUUCUUUUUUUUAAUACAAUGAUUUAAUACCUGCAUUUGGAGACUUAAACUUCUUACAGAUGCUAAUUAAUUAAUUAGGCAAAUAGGUUUGAGGGUAGUUAUGAAGUAGUAAUUUCAGUUUGUGCUCUUCCAGUAACUCAGCAUGACUUUCACUCUCAUUUCUAGCAGAUAUUACAGUGAGAGAUGAGCAUUUCAGUUUGCAGCUGACAGUUUAGGGUUAAGAUAUGAUUCCAGGUAACAGAAGCCAAUGAGAGUACACCCAGUUGAUGUUUGUGACAUCAUCUUCCAGUCGGAGUACAUAGAACAGCUGAGGUAGCGUUCAGUUUCAGCCCCAGUGCCAUUAUGAUGGAUGUUUACAUCUCUUCAUUGAGAGCCAAUUAUCUCGCUUUUGUGUGAGGCCCAAGGAUCACUCAUGCUGCCUGGCUGCACAGAGCACUGUUGGAUCUAGCUGAACGAAUUGUUUUCUGUCUCUGAGAUAUGAAUAUGGGGAAGAAGCUGAACCAACUGAAGCAGUAGUCUUGGUCUGCUCAACAAGCCUGAUGAAAGAAAAGGUUUUAAUAGCAUAGCACAGGAAAAUUGUUCUGGAAUUUACCAGCAACCAUCAAGACCAAGGUGAUACAACUGUGAAACCUAGCAUCGCUGGGGGAGAUUAGCUGUUCCACUCCUUGAAACCCAGCAAGGCUGUCACCUAUCAAAGGCUGCACCUUGGGAUUCCUUGCAAUAAAUAUCUGAAGAAGAAUCUAAUGCACCAUUAACGUCAAAGUGUCUCCCAGACUACAGUAUUGGCUUUUCCUUAAACACUUUAAGCACCAACCACUUGGCUUCUUUCCAGAUUCUUAGUUUCUUAUUGAGUCAGUGCUGAACCUGUAUCAUCGAAAUGUAGCACUUUGAAAACAGGCUUGUUAUAAGCGGCUUAUAGAAGAAAUUUUUUCCACAAAAUGUCAUUUCCUUUUCUAAAACAUGUUUAAUUCAUGUUGACCAGUACAGGCCUCAGCCAUGCAAAAUUUCUAAUAUUAUACCCCAUAUGAUACAUCAAAGCAAAUAAAUGUAGAUAUAAAAAUCUAAAAUAGAGUAAUUUAGAAUCUUCAGUCUUCACCUAUAUUAUUGAGUCCCUAUCCACUGCAGCAAAUGACAACUCUUUAGUUUACAGUUUAUUAAAACUUCACCUAAGAUUUAACAUUUAAUAUUACAGAUAUUGCUCUGAACUGAUUGCUGUACAGGAUUAGAAAAUGUUUCACUUUCAGUGAUGUAACAUCAAAUGCCAUUCAACAAGGACCAGUCAUAGCCUUUAUGUAUGAGCAAAUGAUGACAUUUCAAGAGAAAUCCUACCCUUCUCAUCUGUGAAGUUCGUUUUCAUCUUUUACCUAGCUAUUGAUUAUUUCAUUCGCUUUCCUCCUAAACACCCAUAGGUGUGUGCACAAAAGUGCACUGAUUCAACACCAGAAACCUGGGGACCACUCUAUUUGGCAUUCCUUAUCACUGCAGUAAAAAAUCAAAAAGAAAACUAUAUGUUAAGUAUUUAUGUUAAACUUUAUCCAUGUUUUAUUUAGUUCAUGACAGCCUACACCUUUAGCUGUAAUUUUCCUCACAUUGAUAUGAAAACAAAGAAAAAAAGCUACCCCCUUCAAGUUCCUCAAGAAUAGAAAAAAUAAAUAAUCCAACAAUAGAUAGUAAAUAACAGAGUCAGGACUGAAACCAAGACAUGCUGCCCUGAGAUCCUAUGAAUUUAAGUUUUCUGUUACGCAUGCUGCUUUUCUUUCCAAAGCUGAUCCCAUUUGAAGUGAUACAACUUCUGUUUGUGCAGCAAUAUUUGAAUCUUUUUUGUGAAUUAUGUCAAUCACCAGUGAAAGAAUAAGAUAAAAUACUGCUUUGUAAAAUAAAAGAAUAGCAAAUUGCUUUACCUCUUUAAGCUUCAAUUUUCUGAUUUCUAAUAUUUUUGUUAGAGAAUUGUAUUUGGUAUUAAAUAAUAUAAAUCACAUUUUAGAUAUUUUAACUGUAAAUUCCUGUGCAAAUACAAAUAAUACUAUUAUUAUGCUCCCCAAGUAAAAAAUUAAAAUACAAAUGUAUAUAUGAGUUACACCAAAUCUCAUAGAAUAUCAAAUGAAAGAGACAUAAAUACCCUUUAAAUCACUUACCACAUGUUCAGUGGAUAGCAAAUUCAAAGCUUCUGAUUUUUUUCAGUUACUUUUAGUAAUACAAAGGCAUUAUUUAUUAGCAUUUAUAUUACAAUUAUUACGUAUUUGAUUUAUGCAAUUAUGUUCUUCUUUGGUUAAUUAAACACUGUGCAUGGUAACUCAAUACCCUUCUAAAUGUUACAUAGGUGUUAAAUUGGCAUCUGUUUAAGAAGACAGAACAAAACCCAUUGUUAGGUGCGCAGACAUUAAACCAGGAAUUCACAAAAAAAAACAGAAUAAGUUUAACAGACCUUACCUAAGGAUAAAUUAUCUCUUUUGGCUUAAAACUUGCUUUUGCCCAGAAACAUUUCUCUUUUUAAAUGUGUGGAAAAUAGCAUCUCUGGCACUUCUUAAACAAAUAUUUUGCUAAAGGAUAUGCUUUAGAAAGCUUCUAUUAGUUGGCAAAAGUAGUUUAUUAUCUUCAAAGUUUUCUAAUACAUUAUAUCUGAUUAUCAAAAACUUUGAAGAUAUUAAAACUUUAGGCAUAAAUUUUUAGGUAAAUUUCCUUUUUAGUUUGACCAAGCUUUUGUACCACCUUGUCUAUAGGAGACAUCUGUCAGGGAUCCCCAUAGUGGUGACCCUGAUAAAAAUGCAGUGAGGGAGGGGGUGUCCUGUUCAUAACACAAUGGAAAUCACCUUUCCUAUUUGCCACAUAAAUUAGGGAGAAAAUGAAAUGUUGGAAGUAGAUAUUUAUCUUUUAAGGGUCAAAUCUCUGGAGAUACCUUGUUAUACAUCUGAGGGAAGAAAUUAUUCAAAAUUUUUUGUUUUAUUUUGUAAAUGGAAGAAGUGAAUUCCUUUGUGUUGUUUAGAACAUUUCCUUUUGGAGUACUCCUAUGUAAAUAAAUGAAAGCACACAUUAUUGUUGUUUUCCUUUUUUUUGAGGAGAGUAGCAGUACCUUGGCAUCAUCAGCUUUUGUGUUGUGAUUUUCUACUUCAUAAUGAGAUCAGCUUAUUCGGGGCUCAUUUUUUCCCCCAAAGAUGACUAGUUGAACUGAAAUUCAUUUAUACAAACAUUAUAAUUUAAGUGCCAAUAAUGGCUCUGAGUUAAAGAAUGAAUGAAAUCAGAAAGGUCAAAAUCUAUUUGACUUCCUUUAAAUAUUUGAUAGCUUGUUUACUUAAAUUUAUUUUAUUUGAAAUGCCAAGACAUUUGCCCUUUUCGUGUAGAUUGUAGAACUCUUCAUUAGUUUUUUUCUGGCAUCUGUUCAUUUCAAAACAUUAAACAUUGCCCAGUACAUCUAUGUGUUUCUAAGGGUUAAUUGAGAGGUAGUGUCUAACUUCAGAGCACACAGUGUGAUACAUGGAAACAGCCACUUAGAACAACUAAUAACCAAAAGUGCUUUUCCAUCCAUUCAAUACAUGUUUAAGUAUGCAUCAUGUACCAGUCAAGCUUCUAGAAUGGAGGGAUACUUUAGAAAAUAAAAUCUACCAAGUCCCUAACUUUACAAGCAGCUUUCAUCUUAAUGUUGAGCAAUUCAAAUGUUUCUGAUUCUGAUUGGUUAGAUUAAUAUCAUCUCUUCCCAUGGAAAUUUGCAAGGUCAUUGAUGAAGGAAAAUGGUGGUGACGUUUGAUAGACAUUAUCUCCUCCUUGCAAAAAGAUGAUUAUUUUGUGUUGGUACUAUUGAAAGAUCACCUAUAUAAAUAACAGUUUGCUUUUAAAUAUUGUGUAUUGCAACAAGUUAUAUAUAACCUUAUAUUUUGCUUAUAAGGCAAAAUAUUGUUUUGUAAGAUACAAACACAAUUCUCAUCUAUUGCUGUAACCAGGAAACUUCUCAUGACUUCCUAACAGCAGCAUAUGUAUUGUUUUUUAAAAAAUCUCUUUUAUGAUGUCCACUUUGUCUUUCACUUUAUAUAAUUAUGUGCUUCAUUGUAUCAUUACUAGAUUGAAAGUUACUUAUAGGAAAGAAAUCAUGUUAACAGUAAUCAUUUCAUUAUGUUUGGGACCUAACACAAGACAUGGCUUAUACUGCCUAAAUAUUUCCUGUAUUAACUUGAAUAACUUACUGUAAAUUAGGAAAUUAAACAAAGACCACAGAUAAAUAAAUAAUAUUCUGUGUGUGUCCAAUGCUCAGUUUGAAUUUCAGCAUAAAUUGGAAAGGCAUGUUUUCAUCCAUAUACAUAUCUUAAUAUUUCUCAUAUCAUCACUAUAUAUUAGAGAACUAUAGUUUUCUGGUUGCUAUCACUGAACUAUAUUCCUCAAGAGCAAAGAGAGAAGAGUAGGUUUAAAAUGUUAUUUAUUAUAUUAAUAUAAAUAGUAAACUUUAUGCAACACUCAUGAAAUUCAUAUGUAAAGAAAUAUGCAUUUCUGGAGUCAUUUACAUUGUUCCAAGGCUAUAUUUUCAGGGAUCAUUUCUAUAGUUCAUUACAUUGUUGCAUUUUUGUGAACACAGGUCUCUAUUAUAUCAUUAUUGGAGGAGAAAAUAACUAUAACACAAUUAGUAUUUACAUUUGUAAUAUUAUCUCUCUUACUUUCCAACUUCUAUGAUCAUUAAUAUGUGGGUUGCUCAUUAAUUUAUAGAUAAUAGCAGUUAUAGUAUAUGAAGAAAAAUUAGGAAAAGCAUCAAGCUAAUUAUUUUCUCUUUUAAAAUCUGCAUACAUUUCUUGAUCCUUCCAGACAGAACAAGCCAGAAGUUCACAUUUUCUUAACAAUGGCUUUGAUAACGCCUAAUAACUUUCACUGGCUAGCAGAGUCUACUUCCCCUGAGGAGUUAGGCAACUGAUAGGCUUGUUUUGUUAGUUUGACUUUGCUGAUCUUAACAAGAAAUAAUUCUCAUCACUGUGGUGAAUAUAUAAGUAUUGUAAUAACAUAUAUCUAACUGUCACUUGCUGACUAAAUUUUUUUUGUUCUUCAUAUAAAUUGGUAUCUUACAUACAUAAAGAGAAAAGAAUAGGGCUUGUUGGCAUAAGGAAUUUGUUUCAGAAAUGUAAGUUCUUAUUCCUUCUGUUACGUGGAGAAAAUGUGGAAAAUAAUACAACAUUCACUAUAUGAAACACAGGCAAGUCUUGUAAGUGGGAAAUUGCUUUCGUUUCUCAUUCUUCAAACAAACUUUAAAUGUUUCCCUUGAAUAGGUGACAGCUCUAGAAGCUGUGUCCUCAAAGGCUUUUUCUUAGUUCAAGCUAAAUACAUCUAUUCCAUUGGUGUAAAUAUUUCUACAAAAUAAUUCAUUGUGUGCACCUUCGAUUUGAUUAUAAAGUAGAUUUAGAAGACAUUUAAAAAUUAACUGUAGUUAGGUAAUGCACUCUACACUAUCAGCAAAGUACUUAGAUAAAAUUGUACAUGGCUGACUUUUUAUCUUAUCAUUGUUUCUAUUCACAUGAUUUUCCCUGAGGAAUAUUUAAUUGAUUCCCUUUGGUUUAAUCUUCCUUUUCUAUUAGAUUUCUUUUUCCUUGUCUACAAGAAAGUCAAUAAAUACAAGGGAUGGAUGUGGACAUGUAGUUUCCAAAGAAAACUGGAGCCAGGUCACUCAGAGGAGGAACCAUGUCUUAUUCAUUGUUUUUACCCGAAUAUCUAAUACAGAGUUUGAUGCCUAGUGUAGUUCAAUAAAUACUUUUUGAAGUGAACAAGUUGUACAUUAAGGUCAUGAGUGAGAUUCACCGAAACAACACAUUAUUGUACUUGAAGAGAGAGACAUGUAAGGGAUAUUAAACAGUCAAGAUUCAAAAACUUAUCACACAAAGUUCUGGUUUAAUAUUGAGGGGAAAAGAUUCUAGUUCAUAUUUCUGGCUGUAUCACUGCCUGAUUUAAUAUCAUUAGGUUAUAGUUAUACCCAAAUUUUAUUAUAUUACUCCUUUCCUCCAUCAAACACACAUUAUUCUAUUUCCAUGUCAGGAGAGAGAAGCUCUGGUGUAAGACACACCUGUUUUUGCUGUGAAUCCUUCCAAAUACAUAUGUGGAAUUACAAACAUGAUGAACAUGACAUUCAAAUACAGACUCACAAAGGACAAGUUAUGUUAGAUGAAGAAUCCAGGAUAAUAUAUGGUAACUAUAACUCUAUUUAGCAAAGUAAUAAGUUUGAAGAUCUUUCCUACGUAAGUAUUAAAAUAUUAAAAUCUGAAUCACAAUUCUAGAACUGCCAUGGUAGAUCCAUCAAGAAUGCACCCAUGUGAGCCAGGCACAGUGGCACAUUCUUGGAAUCCCAUCUACCUAGGAGGCCAAGCAGAGGAUCACAAGUUCAGGGCCCACCCUGCAACUUAGUGAGAGUCUGUCUCCAGCCUUAAAAAUAAAAUAAUAAAAUAAAAAAAGAAAGAAAGAAAGAAAAAUAAAAAAAGAAAAGAAAUGUUGGAAACAUAGCCUUAGAUUUGAUCUCCAGUACAAAGAAGCAAUCACUUAUGUGAGAGGCUAAGGAAUUUAAAAUGCCAGCUCCUUUACAUUGAGAACCUUGUUUCGGUGUCCUAGUGGAUGAGUGCCAUCACAAAACAGAAGUACUGAGGAUCUCCUGUAUGAACCACUGUAAACACUUUAACAUCAGGGAGAGUAUAGUAGUGGCCAUGCUGAUGACCACCCCAUGACAUUUCCACUUAGGGUCACUCUGUGCUCAUUGUUGUAUGAAAUAUGUCUGAACUGGGAGAGGAAAUUGUCCCCAAAGGAGGUGUAUUCCAAGGUCAUCCCAGCAGCAUCUUUGCUGCAUUAGCACCUGAGGCAGAUUCAGCACCAAUGGGAAUGGAAAGAGCUUUUGGCACAGGCAGUCUCAAAACUGUGAUCUAAUACUGGAGAGAAAGAAAAUGACAAAAACCACACGGCCAUAAAGAAGCAUGUCCAAAUGUCUAGAUAAGAAUAUUCAGGCACAGAGAAAAAAUGCCUUUGCAAUUCAUGAAGAUGUACAAAAUACUUCUAGUUUAAAAAAAGAGCCGAGAUUGGGAAGAAUUCAAGACUAGAGUCUUAGAAUGAGAAGAUGAGGAAGAAAGCUCUUUUGACAAAUUACUCCCAUGUUAACAC
RNAcentral lists this long non-coding RNA (7194 nucleotides) under Heterocephalus glaber (naked mole-rat). Its description in RNAcentral is "lncRNA (ENSHGLG00100050171.1)". Lineage: Eukaryota; Metazoa; Chordata; Mammalia; Rodentia; Bathyergidae. The record is from RNAcentral.